This 485-nucleotide ribosomal RNA is filed under the name uncultured bacterium. RNAcentral's name for it is "partial 16S ribosomal RNA". It matches the Rfam family "Bacterial small subunit ribosomal RNA", at positions 30 to 507 of the family's 1533-position model. The record is from RNAcentral.
AUUGAACGCUGGCGGCAUGCCUUACACAUGCAAGUCGAACGGCAGCACGGGUGCUUGCACCUGGUGGCGAGUGGCGAACGGGUGAGUAAUACAUCGGAACAUGUCCUGUAGUGGGGGAUAGCCCGGCGAAAGCCGGAUUAAUACCGCAUACGAUCUACGGAUGAAAGCGGGGGGCCUUCGGGCCUCGCGCUAUAGGGUUGGCCGAUGGCUGAUUAGCUAGUUGGUGGGGUAAAGGCCUACCAAGGCGACGAUCAGUAGCUGGUCUGAGAGGACGACCAGCCACACUGGGACUGAGACACGGCCCAGACUCCUACGGGAGGCAGCAGUGGGGAAUUUUGGACAAUGGGCGAAAGCCUGAUCCAGCAAUGCCGCGUGUGUGAAGAAGGCCUUCGGGUUGUAAAGCACUUUUGUCCGGAAAGAAAUCCUUGGCCCUAAUACGGUCGGGGAUGACGGUACCGGAAGAAUAAGCACCGGCUAACUACGUG